This 73-nucleotide transfer RNA is filed under the name Bos taurus (domestic cattle). It matches the Rfam family "tRNA". Rfam says of the family: Transfer RNA (tRNA) molecules are approximately 80 nucleotides in length. Their secondary structure includes four short double-helical elements and three loops (D, anti-codon, and T loops). The record is from Rfam by way of RNAcentral. Lineage: Eukaryota; Metazoa; Chordata; Mammalia; Artiodactyla; Bovidae.
UGCCUGGUGGUCCAGUGGUUAGGACUCUGUGCUUUCAUGGCAGGGGAUGCAGGUGCGAUCCCUGUUCAGGAAC